CUCCCCGCCCCGCCCCGCCCCGCCGCACCGGCAGCCGCGACCCCGCCGCGGGCCGGGGGCGCCCCCGCGGGGCCGGGGCAGCGCGGUCACCCCGCGGGGCAGCAAGGCCCCUCCGCGGGCGCGUGGCCCCGGGGCUCGGGCCUGGCUCUUCUCAAAGACGCCCCCGGCCGUGUCUGGCGUGAGCGGAGCGGCUCGCGGCGGGCGUUGCGCCGCAGAGAGACAGGAAAACUAAGAAGUCUUGGAAAUGGCCAUGGAGCUCAUAUUUAACUUGCAAAAAGCCGUGUGCAGCCUUCCUGAGACAUUUCUUGGCUUGAAAACGGUGCCACAGCUGCAGCUGCAUGAAUCCAUGGCAACGGGAGGGCCGAGCAGCCCCGCUUCCCCGACCCCACGCCAGCAGAGUGGAGAUGAGCGUGUCCUUCAGCCCCCCAGUGCCCAGCGGGUGCCACACGCCGCUGGCAGGAUGCUGCCACUUGAAAGCCCUGGUGCUGGAGCCAGGCUUGUACUGUGAACCGAGCCACAAGCAUGUCAUAUACACCCAACAUGAGAAGAUUCUCUACCUAUAAAAUGGCCUGGAUAUAAUCUACUUCAGAAGACUGGUCACAGGCAUAAUCAAGUGAUGUCUGCAAAAUGCUUUCUGAUCCAUACAUUUUUUUUUCUUACAAGAUGAUUCUCUUCUGAAGUGAAGUUCCUGAAAACAGCUCACAGGUUCCUAUGCAGAGAACUCACCAGUUUGUCAUUAUUAUUUUCACCAGGCAGGGAGGAGAAUUAGCCUAAUUUUACAGUGUUCAGUGAGUCAAAAACACUUAGAGGUCACCUUUGGGUAUGGAAGCCUAAACAACAUGGUUCUGCCAGACCAAGGGGCUUAAAAACUAAGAAGAUUUUACAGACUUUGAUAUUAUUGCUUCUAUUUUCUGCUUCCUUUAGCAUCUUCUUGGAAGAUGGGAAUCCAGACUUUUUUUUACUUUUAUUAAAUCAAGAUCUUAAUCAGCAAGACAGAAGAAUGGGGCCACAUGUUGGCUGCCAGACAAUGUAGUAAGAUGUUUUCAGUGGCAGCAUAAUUUAUUUUAUUUUAAAUUACAGAGACAAAAAUAUCACAUUGA
Dromaius novaehollandiae (emu) is the source of this 1100-nucleotide long non-coding RNA. RefSeq lists it as uncharacterized. NCBI's taxonomy places the organism in Eukaryota, Metazoa, Chordata, Aves, Casuariiformes, Dromaiidae. The record is from RefSeq and is a predicted model, not a curated record. The transcript has 4 exons.